GAGAACGGAGUGGCAAAGAUAGCAAAGUGGCCGAUGGUAUCCGCGUGACAACAUUCCUCGUCGACGGCAGUAGUACCCAUAAUCUCUGUAAAAGGGCUGCGAAUGGCGAUUGUUAUCCCUCCUUCGGAAGAAUGCUCGGCGAUAAAGACUGGUGCGGCCAGGAACAGAUUGACAGCGAGCAGGGAAACACCGUGAAACUAACAAGUGUUCCUCUCAUUACGUGUAUAUGCUGCCUCUGUGGAAAAAUUACGUGUUACAUUUAGAAAACAACGUUAAAAACAGCAGUUCACCUGGCUAAAACUACAAUUGGUACCGGCCGACAAGAGUCGCGGGCGCACCAAUGCAAGUAAAACCAUAAAAAAAUAUUUACUGCUCAGACUCUUUGCAAGAAAAACUGGCCAUCCGCCAGAGUCCGCGCAACGAACGCGCGCUCUAAAGUCACUGGAGCGCGCUCGCUAGCAGACGACUCACUAGACAACGACAACAAAAUUGAAGACGUCGUGUUGUAUGACACAUGCCUGAAAUACACAUACGUGGCAAAAAUGUGCUAAUCAAAAUUUGCAGCGGAAAUAAAACACUAUUAUAAGAGAGUACGCGCGCAACCGGUCUCAGUGCCCGCAGCGAUAUUACGUUGAAUAUGCCGCGAAGUGACUCUAUAUCGAGUUCGCUCGCAGCGCCCUCGCAAAAUUUUUCCACACGCGGCGCCUCAGCGAGAAAGCGCCGUUCGGACCACUCGUCCAUAGCCUAGUUGCACACGCCCGCGUUCCAGAAAAUAGCCUAGUACCUUCCUUCGUCUGGCGGAACGUUGAUCUCAGCAGGCGUGCCGGCUCCCGUCGUCUGUGUACCGUUUGUUUCGCCGGCGAAUCAUAGAGGGCGAACUACGGCGUCUGCUGGUCUGCUGCGCUCUGCACAUCGGUCCACAUUGCUCUACUCGCUCGAGCGGCUGGACGUUCUAGGUUUUCUCCGAAUAGGUUGCAGUUGCUGAUUGGCCAGUAUGGCUGGACCGACGCCAGUGCAGGUGCAUAUUGAGUACUGUGGUGGAUGAGGGUACGCCCCUCGCUUUCAGGAGCUAAGGAACCAAAUCCUUGUCAGAGUACCAACUGCCAACGUGACUGGCACAGUAGGACGCCAAACGUCCUUUGAAGUGACAAUAAAUAAUGUCCUGGUAUACUCUAAACUCGCAAAGGGUAACUUUCCUGACUUUGAAGAGGUUGUCCAGCGAGUACUCGAUGCCAGCCUUGGCAAGGGGGUGAAGCCUUGCGUGAAGCUUGGUGCGAGCGGCAACUGCUCUUUGUUAUAGCAUGGCACCUCAUUGGGUGCUCUAUGCGCAUUUGCUCUGCCAGUUGACCAUGCAGUUGGCCUUCCUGAACAAUAGCUGAAGGCUUUGGAAAGCGCAUUUAUGAUGGCUUGACCCCAAAUCUUGAAAGAGUCUUGCCUGAAGAGCCAGCGUGUUCCUGCCCGGCGCUACUUGCUGUGUGAAAGCCACUCAUGUAUGGACCUUGUGGAAGUAAAUGCAUUUGUUUCAUUAUUAGUCUUUUUUUCUAGAAGUUCCUGAUGCUGUGAAAUAGCAAGAGCCGAAAUAACUUAAACUUGCUUGACGCGACAUAGCGAGGACUAUUAUAUAAUAAUCUGCUCUAGAUUGAAACUUGUUUGUGGAACCAUGUGGCGUAUGUCUCUCUGACAUGUUGUUGAAGGCUGUCACCUGCUGUUUUGAGUAUCUGAUGAAAUGCCGACCUUGCAUGUGAUAAGACAUGCAACUGUUUCUUUAGUUGCUGUGUUUGGGAAGUCGAACUUUGCACAAAAAUUCUGUGGAUGCAUUGCUUCUGCGACGAGAAGCACAGCAUUUGCGUCUUCAACAUGAGGUGCAGCAUCUCAACAGCAGUUUUGCAACAUACUAGCUGUCGCAGCAGAAGACUGCAAGAACACUCGCCAUGGCGAUGGCACCAACAUGCGGUACCACCCCGUGUUGGUACCAUCCUACCACGCUGUUUCUUAGAUUGCACAGUCUUCGAGAUUAGUUCACGAGACUGGCUACAGUCAAUAAAUUGCGAUUAGUUCCUAAAGAAUGCUAAAAGCACUUGAAGUGCUUUUACGCAUUAGCAUAAGUGAGUAGAUGGAGCAUUUGUUAAUGCUAUUCUUUAUCUGAUAAGUACAGACAGCUCGGGAAAGUCCAUCAUGUCAGUUUUUGCCAUAUGAGAAAAAAAUGGAAGAGCGGGUGCGACGUUGGUGCACAUCACUCCACACAUUAUCUCAGCAGCUCACCAACGGCCUAGAGGUAGACAAGGCCCAUGCGAUCUAUCCUCAAGUGGUCACUGCUUCACCAUGCAGCAAAAUGUUGAAUUGCAUGUGUGUUUGCUUUCCGUACAUCGUUUUUGCAUUUAAUAACCGUGUGUUUCUUCAUUUUCAACUUUUGUAUUGAGACGAUGUGUUAUACUAGGUGUUUCUACGAAGAUUUUUGUAAUAUUUAAAAUUCGAUAUUUUGAAAUAAAAGGAUGGUACCUUCGGAGACAUGCCAUGAGCGUUGGCGACCAUGGCAUGACGGGUGAUAUGGAGUUAUUCGUUGCCAACUUCUAAUGUCAGCAGGCUUCAUUAUUAGCAAAUUGAAACAAGCCCUCCACAUAAGCCAUGUCAACCUCUGGAUCUGGGAAAUUUUAAUUGGGAACUGGCAAUGAAUGCAAAAUGUCACUUUCAGAAGAAUUGACUGCGCGACAGGCUGCAGCCUGUCAUGUCUCCUCAAGCUUUUCUCGCAUGGAAAAAUGCGAAUAGAUGGAGCAAAGGCUUGGUCACUCUUUAAUCUUCUUCAAAAUAUUGAGGGGGAAAGAAAAGCACUGGGGUGACUGAGAUCUUUAGCUGCUCAGAUGUAAGGCGGCUCACAACAUUGCAUGCUGUGAUGAAAGUAAGGUUCGGCCUUUAAAUAAAAUCUUUUGUAAACAAAACACUUUAUUUGAGUAAGGAAAAGUACAAAAGAUAUCUUACUCCAAUUUGCAUGUCAUGUAUCCGCCUAGCUUAUUCUGUCAUUUCGAUGACUACCAUAGAAACGAGAUGCAUUUAUGUGUUAUUCAGGCGGAUCUUAGUUUCACAUUUUCUGGAAGUUACACAGGAGUGUAAGAAGUGUUUCAAGAAGUUACACAGGAGUGUAAGUCACUCAUUCUUGGUCUAUCUCAAGAAUGGGUAUGUGCCAUACUUUAAUAUUUAUCCAGUGCUAGUAGAAUUGAAGCCAUGUCACAGAGGUCCCACAGGUACAGCAGCUCGAUGCUUUAGCGUGCUGCGCAGUAAAUGCAUUGUGGAUAGUACAGGAGCAAUUCUCAGCAUUUGCAUGCACCGGCGUGUUUUGCAUCACGGAGGGCACGCGCAGACAUUGCGGCUGCGGCGCUAGGUGGCGCAGCGUGUCCGGAGAGCAUUGCGAGAGUGGAGCCCGGCUGCAGGCACACGCCUCAUAUAGGACGCGGUUCGGUGGUGUCAAUACGAUGUUUAUGCAAUGCUGAUCGCAUGAACAUCGACAUUCAUUGUGAGGUAGGUUCUGUCGAAAUUUUAGAGCGCAGCUCUUAAGCGCCCGUUCCUGCGUGCCUCGGCGGCGUAGCCGAACGAACGAGCACAACAAAUGAAAGAACGGGCGCAGGAGGGGAUGAAAUACGGCGAGAGCGCAAGGAGGAAAGCGGAGGCUGUGGCGGAAGCACGAGGAGGAAAGCGUUUGCGUAUUCGCGGCAGCGGCGUCACCGGCCGUGCGGGGAAAAAAAAACUAAGCUCGCCUUCGCGCAUAGCGUUCGCCGCAAGCGUUUUCCUGUAAAGAUUACAGUUGCAUAAGCUGCAGUUUCCGGAAAGCGGCAACUGUGUGGCCGGUCUAGCGCUGCGCGCGUCGUGGUUCUGCCAGUCGGUGCGGUGAUCGGUGCGAUGUCUCAAUAUAUUGCGAAAUGAAAAUGCGUAUACAGCUGCGCUCAAAUUUCGCAUUAGGGAGUAUCGUAAUCGUCGUUUUUUUUUUUUUUUUCGUGCGUCAAUUUCGAACUUCUCAUGUUAAUUCUGCUGUUCGCUUGUGUGUCGCUACGUGCAGUAUUUAACCUAAAUUCCUGAUUACCUUGGGGCCACCCGUCUCGCGAAUCGACGUCCAACCGGUGCAGGCAUGGAGGAAGGAAAAAAUAUAGGAGGGAGCAUUACGUCACGCAACCAGCCUAGGCAAGCGAACGUUCCGUGAAGCCCACAAAUUUGCUCAGUGGUGACCCAACACGUGGCUUCUUGCGUCGAGAUCACGGAGCAAGAAUCGAGAUUUGCUGAGAAGUUUGGUACCCGUAGCUAUGCCAGCCAUGCCAGCAGCUUUUCUUCGGUGCGCGCUUGUUCAGCAGGCUCAGUGGAGCCCUGGACUAGGGGGCCAACCCUGCUAAGAAGCAAGCGUCUGCAGCGAUGAAGACGAUCGACCGAACGCUAAACCUUAAUGGACCAAAUAGUUCUCUUUCUCUCAGCUGCCCUGCCGUGGCUUUGCCUACAGAGCGGGAAGACUAAAAACAACCGCGCACUUUGGCGUACGAUCACGUGUUUGGCCGACGGGUGUGGCUUUUCCUUGCUCCAUGGGUGCAGGGCCUCGGUCCAGCUAGCUACAUGCUCGCUAAAAUCGGCUAAAAUGUAUGGACUGUCUCCCGUCACGCGGAAACUUAGGGUGCCUGAAUGGUCUCUCUUUCCAUUCCUCCCUCAAUAACCAAUGCGGCGGCAUUAAUUUAGACGCAAGGGCGAGCAGAGGUCGACCACUCGAUCUGUUGCACUAUAUAUCAUUGGCAUGCCUCCAUGUCUCUUGUUCUCUGGUGAAAUGGCGCAACGUGCUCUGGAACAUCGGUCAUGAAUCAGGCGGUAAAAAAACUGUCAUAAGUUUCUUUAAUAAACAAAUUAAGGUGAAAUUAAAUAAGUAUCUUGCAAAUGAGAUUUAAAGUGUCUACUGGUGCAGAUAUAUCAGUUAUAUAAGUAUUACAUAAAACAAUUAUGUGAGCAUAAUAACUAUUAAGAACAAUUUUAGCAUGCAAUUAUUUUUGUCUCGCGCAGCAAUAUGCAGAGGGCUUCACAAACGUUCCAGUGGCUGUAACCCAGUACGGUAGCUUAGCUCAAAGGAAAGAAUUACAGGAAGAGUCGAAUUCGAGCCAUACUUUUGGAAAGGUUCUAAAGAUUUUUUCCGUUGAAUAAUGAGACGACAGCAGGCCAAAAAGUGUUGCAGAGAUUCAUUCUCAUUGCAUAAAGGACACAAUGGUGAUACAGCCAGACCAGACCUGUGGAGGUAAAAGUUCAGUGCGAAAACUCGAUCGGCACCGGUCGUAAUCCCGCUUUCUCCAUAGCAGUUGCAACUGAACGGCGAGGAUCCAUGGCUGGAGCGAAGCCAGUUAAAGUAGUCGUUGAGUAUUGUGGGGGAUGAGGAUACAUCUCUCGCUUCGAGGAUCUGAAAAAGCAGAUCCUCGCCAAGCUGCCAAAUGCCCAUGUGACUGGCACCGUAGGACGCAAAACAUCCUUCGAAGUGGAAAUCAAUGGUGUCCAGGUAUUCUCUAAGCUCCAAAAGGGUGCCUUUCCUGACUUUGGAGAGGUUGUUGCUCGAGCUGUGGAUGCCAGCCAAGGGAAAGCUGUACAGGCUGUAACCGGUGUGCAGAAGUAGUUCAGAGGAUGGCCCAUGGCUCGAAGGUCCCUGUCGGAGCCUUCCAGACAUGUGUCGACUAUACUCCCUCGUGCCUGUGGCCCGUUGUUCACCGUCCCUUCGCACUUGCUCUGCCGGUUGGCCAUGCAGUUGGCCUAACUGAACAAUAGCUCAAGGCCUUGGAAUGCGUAUGAAUGAUGGCUUGACCCCAAAUCUUGAAAAGGGUCUUGCUUGAAGAACCAGCGUGUUCCUGCCUGGUGCUACUUGCUCUGUGAAAGCCAUUCAUGUAUGGACUUUGUAGAAGCUUUCUCCAUAGAGGUUGCAACUGAUCGGCGAGGAUCCAUGGCUGGAGCGAAGCCAGUUAAAGUAGUCGUUGAGCAUUGUGGAGGAUGAGGAUACAGCCCUCGCUUCGAGGAACUGAAGAAGCAGAUCCUCGCCAAGCUGCCAAAUGCCAAUGUGACUGGCACCGUAGGACGCAAAACAUCCUUCGAAGUGGAAAUCAAUGGUGUCCAGGUAUUCUCUAAGCUCCAAAAGGGUGCCUUUCCUGACUUUGGAGAGGUUGUUGCUCGAGCUGUGGAUGCCAGCCAAGGGAAAGCUGUGCAGGCUGUAACCGGUGUGCAGAAGUAGUUCAGAGGAUAGCCCAUGGCUCGAAGAUCCCGGUCGGGGCCUUCCAGAUAUGUGUCGACGAUACACCCUUGUGCCUGUGGCCCGCUGUUCACCGUCCCUUCGCACUUGCUCUGCCGGUUGGCCAUGCAGUUGGCCUAACUGAACAAUAGCUGAAGGCCCUGGAAUGCGUAUGAAUGAUGGCUUGACCCCAAAUCUUGAAAAGGGUCUUGCUUGAAGAACCAGCGUGUUCCUGCCUGGUGCUACUUGCUCUGUGAAAGCCAUUCAUGUAUGGACUUCGUAGAAGUAAAUGAAUUUUUUAAAAAUUUGUGUAUCUUUUCUAACACUUUCUAAGUCUGUGAAAUAACAAGAGCCAAAUUCAUUGGAA
Molecule: long non-coding RNA, 6593 nt
Organism: Dermacentor andersoni
Lineage: Eukaryota; Metazoa; Arthropoda; Arachnida; Ixodida; Ixodidae
Source: RefSeq, a predicted model, not a curated record